UGGGGAAUAUUGCGCAAUGGGGGCAACCCUGACGCAGCCAUGCCGCGUGAAUGAAGAAGGCCUUCGGGUUGUAAAGUUCUUUCGGUAGCGAGGAAGGCAUUUAGUUUAAUAAACUAGGUGAUUGACGUUAACUACAGAAGAAGCACCGGCUAACUCCGUGCCAGCAGCCGCGGUAAUACGGAGGGUGCGAGCGUUAAUCGGAAUAACUGGGCGUAAAGGGCACGCAGGCGGUGACUUAAGUGAGGUGUGAAAGCCCCGGGCUUAACCUGGGAAUUGCAUUUCAUACUGGGUCGCUAGAGUACUUUAGGGAGGGGUAGAAUUCCACGUGUAGCGGUGAAAUGCGUAGAGAUGUGGAGGAAUACCGAAGGCGAAGGCAGCCCCUUGGGAAUGUACUGACGCACAUGUGCGAAAGCGUGGGGAGCAAACAG
Molecule: ribosomal RNA, 428 nt
Filed under: uncultured bacterium
Lineage: Bacteria
Description: bacterial SSU rRNA
Rfam family: Bacterial small subunit ribosomal RNA
Source: RNAcentral